Molecule: ribosomal RNA, 466 nt
Filed under: uncultured bacterium
Lineage: Bacteria
Description: partial 16S ribosomal RNA
Rfam family: Bacterial small subunit ribosomal RNA
Source: RNAcentral
GAUGAACGCUGGCGGCGUGCUUAACACAUGCAAGUCGAACGAUGAAGCCCAGCUUGCUGGGUGGGUUAGUGGCGAAAGGGUGUGUAUAACGUGAGUAACCUGCCCUUAACACUGGGAUAAGCCUGGAGAACUGGGUCUCUUACCGCAUAGGAGCGUCCCCGGCACGGUGGGUGUUGUAGAGAUUUACCGGUUUUGGAUGGACUCGCGGCCUAUCAGCUUGUUGGUGUGGUAUUGGCUCACCAAGGCGCCGACGGGUAGCCGGCCUGAGAGGGUGACCGGCCACACUGGGACUGAGACACGGCCCAGACUCCUACGGGAGGCAGCAGUGGGGAAUAUUGCACAAUGGGCGGAAGCCUGAUGCAGCGACGCCGCGUGAGGGAUGACGGCCUUCGGGUUGUAAACCGCUUUCAGUAGGGAAGAAGCGAAAGUGACGGUACCGGCAGAAGAAGCACCGGCUAACUACGUG